This is a non-coding RNA of Schistosoma mattheei, 45 nucleotides long. The record is from Rfam. NCBI's taxonomy places the organism in Eukaryota, Metazoa, Platyhelminthes, Trematoda, Strigeidida, Schistosomatidae.
AUCCAGCUGCUGAGUCCCAAACAGGACGAAACGCAUGUCUUGGAU